GGAGUUUGGACCGUGUCUCAGUUCCAAUGUGGGGGACCUUCCUCUCAGAACCCCUACGCAUCGUUGCCUUGGUGGGCCGUUGCCCCGCCAACUAGCUAAUGCGCCGCAUGCCCAUCCCUGGACGAAAUUCUAUCACGCCGAAGUCAUGCGGCCUCGGCGCAUACGGGGUAUUAGGCCGCGUUUCCGCGGGUUAUCCCCCAACCAGGGGCAGGUUGCAUACGUGUUACUCACCAGUGCGCCGGUCGCCGUCGGCAGUAUUGCUACCGCCACGCUGCCCCUCGACUUGCAUGUGUUAAGCCUGUCGCUAGCGUUCAUC
Molecule: ribosomal RNA, 316 nt
Filed under: uncultured Bacteroidales bacterium
Lineage: Bacteria; Pseudomonadati; Bacteroidota; Bacteroidia; Bacteroidales
Description: partial 16S ribosomal RNA
Source: RNAcentral